GAUUGAACGCUGGCGGCAGGCCCACCACAUGCAAGUCGAGCGGAUGAAGGGAGCUUGCUCCUGGAUUCAGCGGCGGACGGGUGAGUAAUGCCUAGGAAUCUGCCUGGUAGUGGGGGAUAACGUCCGGAAACGGGCGCUAAUACCGCAUACGUCCUGAGGGAGAAAGUGGGGGAUCUUCGGACCUCACGCUAUCAGAUGAGCCUAGGUCGGAUUAGCUAGUUGGUGGGGUAAAGGCCUACCAAGGCGACGAUCCGUAACUGGUCUGAGAGGAUGAUCAGUCACACUGGAACUGAGACACGGUCCAGACUCCUACGGGAGGCAGCAGUGGGGAAUAUUGGACAAUGGGCGAAAGCCUGAUCCAGCCAUGCCGCGUGUGUGAAGAAGGUCUUCGGAUUGUAAAGCACUUUAAGUUGGGAGGAAGGGCAGUAAGUUAAUACCUUGCUGUUUUGACGUUACCAACAGAAUAAGCACCGGCUAACUUCGUG
RNAcentral lists this ribosomal RNA (485 nucleotides) under uncultured bacterium. Its description in RNAcentral is "partial 16S ribosomal RNA". It matches the Rfam family "Bacterial small subunit ribosomal RNA", at positions 27 to 507 of the family's 1533-position model. The record is from RNAcentral.